RNAcentral lists this ribosomal RNA (423 nucleotides) under uncultured bacterium. RNAcentral's name for it is "partial 16S ribosomal RNA". It matches the Rfam family "Bacterial small subunit ribosomal RNA", at positions 359 to 774 of the family's 1533-position model. The record is from RNAcentral.
GAAUUUUGGACAAUGGGGGAAACCCUGAUCCAGCCAUCCCGCGUGUGCGAUGAAGGCCUUCGGGUUGUAAAGCACUUUUGUCAGGGAAGAAAAGGUUCUGGCUAAUACCCGGAACUGCUGACGGUACCUGCCGAAUAAGCACCGGCUAACUACGUGCACGCAGCCGCGGUAAUACGUAGGGUGCAAGCGUUAAUCGGACUUACUGGGCGUAAAGCGGGCGCAGGGGGUUUGGCAAGAAGGAUGUGAAAUCCCAGGGCUUAAACUUGGAACUGCAUUCUUAACUGCCAGGCUAGAGUAUGUCAGAGGGGGGUAGAAUUCCGCGUGUAGCAGUGAAAUGCGUAGAGAUGCGGAGGAAUACCGAUGGCGAAGUCAGCCCCCUGGGAUAAUACUGACGCUCAUGCACGAAAGCGUGGGGAGCAAACA